GAUGAACGCUGGCGGGAGGCCUAACACAUGCCAGCCGAGCGGUAGAGUUUCUUCGGAGACUUGAGAGCGGCGCACGGGUGCGUAACACGUGUGCAACCUACCUUUAUCUGGGGGAUAGCCUUUCGAAAGGAAGAUGAAUACCCCAUAAUAUAAUGAUUGGCAUCAAUUAUUAUUGAAAACUCCGGUGGAUAGAGAUGGGCACGCGCAAGAUUAGAUAGUUGGUGAGGUAACGGCUCACCAAGUCAAUGAUCUUUAGGGGUCCUGAGAGGGAGGUCCCCCACACGGGUACUGAGACACGGACCAGACUACUACGGGAGGAAGCAGUGAGGAAGAGUGGACAAGGGGUGAGAGCCUGAUCCAGCCAUCCCGCGUGAAGGAGGACGGUCCUAUGGAUUGUAAACUUCUUUUGUACAGGGAUAAACCUACCCUCGUGAGGGUAGCUGAAGGUACUGUACGAAUAAGCAACGGCUAACUCCGUG
RNAcentral lists this ribosomal RNA (479 nucleotides) under uncultured bacterium. RNAcentral's name for it is "partial 16S ribosomal RNA". It matches the Rfam family "Bacterial small subunit ribosomal RNA", at positions 28 to 507 of the family's 1533-position model. The record is from RNAcentral.